GUAAAGUAUACUGUAACAAUUUUCAUAAUUAUAGUAUUUUUUUCUAAGUAAUCUGUAUUGUAUUGUUGUGUAAUCGAAGUGUAACCAAUUGCUAUUUUAUCACCGCAAUAGAUUUAUGGUGAUAAGUGAUAUAGUUACUUUCAUUUUUCCUUUAAAUAAGACAUACCGUCCACUAUGACAAUUGGUUCUAAAGCGGUAUCAAAGCUUAUUGUACCUAUUAUUAGUAAUGUAGUUUGCUUAGCACGGUCACAAUUUAGCACAAUACUUUUUUGCAGCAAAAUGGCAGUGGAUAAUCCCGAUUUUAAGUCGGCUACGUCUAUUCAUGAAUUCACCGUCAAAAAUAUAAAAGGUGCUGAUGUAAAACUAGAUAUAUACAAAGGUCACGUUUGUAUUAUUGUGAAUGUUGCCUCACAGUGUGGUCUUACUGCAAAUAACUACAAACAACUUAAUGAACUAUACGAACAAUAUGCAGAAACUAAAGGAUUGCGAAUCCUGGCAUUUCCCUGCAACCAAUUCGCUGGUCAAGAACCAGGAAACUCCGAAGACAUCGUUUGUUUCGCUGCUGAUCGCAAAGUGAAAUUCGAUUUGUUUGAAAAAAUCGAUGUUAAUGGGGACAAUGCUAGCCAAUUAUGGAAAUUCUUAAAGCAUAAACAAGGCGGUACCCUGGGCAGUUCAAUUAAGUGGAAUUUUACGAAAUUCAUUGUGGACAAGGACGGAGUUCCUGUUGAACGACAUGGACCCAAUGUAGAUCCUAAAGAUUUGGUCAAGUCUUUGGAAAAAUAUUGGUGAAGACAUUCUUGAUAAUAAUCAACUCCUAUUACUUUAGCAUUCAAAGUGCGUAAAAAUGGCAGAAGCCAAUAACCCAGAUUAUAAGUCUGCUACAUCUAUUCAUGAAUUCACUGUCAAAAACAUUAAAGGUGAAGAUGUUAAGCUGGAUGUGUACAAAGGUCACAUUUGUAUUAUUGUGAAUGUUGCUUCACAGU
RNA transcript from Galleria mellonella (greater wax moth), 983 nucleotides. RefSeq lists it as uncharacterized. The record is from RefSeq and is a predicted model, not a curated record. The transcript has 6 exons. NCBI's taxonomy places the organism in Eukaryota, Metazoa, Arthropoda, Insecta, Lepidoptera, Pyralidae.